RNAcentral lists this ribosomal RNA (428 nucleotides) under uncultured prokaryote. RNAcentral's name for it is "bacterial SSU rRNA". It matches the Rfam family "Bacterial small subunit ribosomal RNA", at positions 355 to 774 of the family's 1533-position model. The record is from RNAcentral.
UGGGGAAUAUUGCGCAAUGGGCGAAAGCCUGACGCAGCGACGCCUCGUGAGGGAUGAAGGUCUUCGGAUCGUAAACCUCUGUCAAGAGGGAAGAAACCUUUGGAUUCGAACAGGGUCUAAAGCUGACGGUACCUCUAAAGGAAGCACCGGCUAACUCCGUGCCAGCAGCCGCGGUAAUACGGAGGGUGCAAGCGUUAAUCGGAAUCACUGGGCUUAAAGCGCACGUAGGCGGCCUGUCAAGUGCCUUGUGAAAUCCCCCGGCCCAACCGGGGAAUUGCUGGGUAGACUGAUGGGCUUGAGGUAGGUAGGGGCGAGUGGAACUCUUGGUGGAGCGGUGGAAUGCGUAGAUAUCAAGAGGAACGCCGGAGGUGAAAACGACUCGCAGGGCCUGUCCUGACGCUGAGGUGCGAAAGCCAGGGGAGCAAACG